GGAAGGAUCAUUACAGAAUUGUCAACGGGUUGUUGCUGGUCCUCGAACGGGGACAUGUGCACGCUCUGUUUACACAUCCACUCACACCUGUGCACCCUCCGUAGUUCUGUGGUCUGGGGGACCCCUGUCUUCCUGCCGUGGUUCUAUGUCUUUACACACACAC
RNAcentral lists this unclassified non-coding RNA (163 nucleotides) under uncultured fungus. Its description in RNAcentral is "sequence contains ITS1, 5.8S rRNA gene, ITS2 and 28S rRNA gene". The record is from RNAcentral. Lineage: Eukaryota; Fungi.